GGCAACCUGCUCGGGUCCCCUGCCACACUAUGGAAGCUUUGUUCUUUUGCUCUUUGCAAUAAAUCUUGCUACUGCUUACUCUUUGGGUCCACACUGCCUUCAUGAGCUGUAACACUCACCGGGAAGGUCUGCAACUUCACUCCUGAGCCAGCGAGACCACGAGCCCACUGGAAGGAACAAACUCCCGCACGCCGCCUUUAAGAACUGUAACACUCACAGAGAGGGCCCGCGGCUUCAUUCCCGAAGUCAGUGAGACCAAGAACCAACCAAUUCCGGGCACGGGAUCAAUUGGGAUUAGAAUUUUAUCCUACUGCUAAAACAUAAAGCAAAAAGGCCAAAAGUGAUCUCACCUUUUCAGAGAAACGCACUUAAAUAGCAGCAGCAGGUGCCUCUCUUUUCUGAGCUUCCCUUCACCUGAAUGUGGUUCUGGUACUUAAAGUUUCUUUUUCUGCAUCCGCUGCUCUGUUAAGUGAUCACCACAUUCAUUGUUCUCGUUUCUAUUAUUUCUGAAAAAAAUCUUCAGGAUUCUGCUUGUGGGAGUGGAUGACAUUUUUACAGUGUUUACAGGCUGAAAAUUUUUCGAGCUUUUAUGCUCUGCUUCCGUUAUAAGGAGGAGGCCUCACAAUCCUGGUGGAAGGCAAGGAGGAGCAAGUCACAUCUUAUGUGGAUGGCAGCAGGCAAAGAAAGCUUAUGCAGACACAAAAUGAACAAGAUGUCUGUGGCAACCCUCAGACCAUUGACGCCUUCUCUCCUAUGUAUCAAAUCACACAUUUGGACGUUGACUGAACCCUCACAUGUCAGAUGCUCAAUAUUGAGGUAUAGUAAAAGGGAGCAUGAACUUGAGAAAAUACGCUUUCAACACAAAGCUGUAAUAAUAUAAGGUCAAAUAAGAUUCUGCAUUGGAGAUAGAAAACUCUGAAGGAAGCUUUAUCUAUUCCAGAAUGUCAUAUAGCUGGUAUAAGGUUCAGGGGGCCCAUGUACAGGUUUGUUACAUGGGUGUAUCUCAUGUUGCUGAGGUUUGGUGUAUAAAUGAUCCCAUCACCCAGGUAGGAAGCAAGGUACCCAGUAGGUAGUUUUUCAACGCAUACUCCUUCCCACUUUCCCCUAUCUAGUAGUAGUCCCCAGUGUCUAUUGUUGCCAUCUUUAUGACCACAUGUACCCAAUAUUUAGCUCCUGCCUAUAAGUGAGAACAUGAGACAUUUGAUUUUCUACUCCUGUGUUAAUUUUCUUAGGAUAAUGCCCUCCAGUUGUGUCCAUGUUGCUUAAAAGGAAAUGCUUUCAUUCUUUUUUUAUGGCUGCAUGGUAUUCUUUUGGGAACCAGCUCAUUGCUUGGUACAGAACCCUGAUAAAGACUAAUUGUUUAAUAAUGGGGCACCAAUUACUCUAUAAUCUCUGUUGCAAUGAGGAUCCAUCAAAUCAUAGUGCUAAUCACAUGCAGCAGGAACCCAUUAUGAAAUGAAAGAUAUAUGUACAUGUGUAAGUGUAUAUGAAAUUAGGCUUGAAUAGAUUGCCACAAAUGAGUAAGUUGUGUGAGCGGGGGGCUCAGAUUCUCAGGACACAUCCACUUGCUGCAUCACCAUUCCACUGUCCACACAUGCAUGUGGCCUAAUAAGGAGUUUCCUAACCCCAGAUUAAAAGAGGGAAAAAAUGAGCUUGUUUUACACAGUAUGCUGUCACUGUUGGAACUGGACUGCUGGCAUAGUUCAACUACUGUCUAGAGUGGCACUGAUGGACAGAAAAGUGAAAUCCUCCAAGUGGGAAGAACUUUGGAAAAUACAUUUGAAUGACCAUUUUGCCUCACAGGAAGGAAACAGUGAUGGAAUAAUGCCUCUUCUGAAAGGUGGUCCCAUUCUAAUCUUAGGAACCUGCAAAUAUGUUACCUUAUAGUGCAUAAGGGCCUUUUCAGAUGUGAUUGAAUUAAAGAUCUGGAGACAGAAGAAUUAUUCUGGAUUUUCUGGGAGAGGACAACAUAAUCACAACAUAAGCACAUUUUUUUUCUCUCUCUGAUGUCCUGCCUCCUUCUUAUAAGGAUAAUCACAUAAUUGGAUCAUGAUAAGAAGGAGGCAAGAGGUCAGAGAAAGAAGAAAUGUGCUACAAAGUUGGAUAUGAAGAUGGAGGGAUGGGUCACGAACAGUCUCUAGAAGCUGAAAAUGUCAGAGGAAAGAAUUCUCCCCUAGAGCCUCCAGAAGGAAAAUAGCCCUAUAAACACUUUGACUUUAGCCCUGUAAGGCACAUUGCAGACUUCUGACCUCCAGAACCGUACUAUAGUAAAAUAAACCUAGGUUGCUUUAAGCCACUCAGCUUAGUUAUUUGUUACAGCAGCAAUAGGAAACUAAUACAGAUAAAUAUAUUCCAAAUCCUUGACAAUCGCUAAUUGUUUGUUUAGUUGGUCAGGUAUUAAAAAAAAAUUUAAAAACCUGUUUUCUGCUGUAAUGUCAUCACUAUUAUUUCAGGCCUGAUUCUAUCGUUUAAAUUUUCUCAUUUUGGACUAUGUUUUCCUUCUUAUUUGAAUGCUUGGGAUUUUUAAAAAUUGUAAUCUUGGCAUUGGCAUUUUUAACUUGCCGGGUGCUGGAUGAUUUUUAUAUACCUAUACAUGUUCUCGAACUUUGUUCUGAGGUGCAGUUACUUGACAGCAGUUUGAUCCUUUUGAGCCAUGCUUUUAAGGAUUUUAUGUAGAACCAGUACAGUUUCUAACUUACAGCUAAUGUUGACAUACUACUGAGGGAAUAUCCUUCUGAGAACUAUUCAUUUGUCCCUGGGAUUAUGAGGUGAUUUACUCUGGAUAGUGAAAUAGAAACCAUUCCAGAACCAAGGAUGGCACUAGGUGUUGUUCCCUCUAUUUUUGGGGGGAAAUAUUGUCUCUGCUUCAAGUAGUUUCAUCACAUGCGUUAGCAGAUCAAUAUUUAAGUGAAGAAUUGAGGGGUACCCUCUGCAUAUCUUCUUAGCUCUCUCAGUACAACUCUCUCUUCCCUGGUAUUACGCCCUGCAAAAUCAAUCUGCCUUAGUCUCAUAAACACUCAGAUUGGUCUCUUUAACCCACAGAGAUAGUCAGGCUCCCCCCUGAUUACCCUCCUUUCCUGUGGCCUGGAACUCUUUCCAGGCAAUGAGCUGGAACAAACAUUUGCCUUAAAUAAUUUGCUUACCCUAUCUCAUGGAUUAUUACCCAGGACUGCUCAAUGUCUGGUGUCAGAAAACUGAUAUUUCACAGUUUAUCCAUUUUUAGAUAUUUUAGUGGGUGGGAAGGUUUAGUUACUUAUUAUUCCAUCUCAAUAAACAACAGAAAUAAUUCACUUGUGAGUUUGAAUAAUUAUAUUGCAGUAUUUUUUACUUUAUUCUAACAAUUACCGCAUUUCUUACACUCAAUCUGAGCACAAGCACUACAACCCUAUCAAUAUUCCACACCUGAAAUAAACUAACAUGACUAACACCUAUAAUUCCAUUAAUUUUAUUAUCCCUAGGAGGUUUACCCCCAUUAAUGGGAUUUCUCCCUAAAUGAGUUACCAUCCAAGAACUUACAAAAAACAACAGUCUUAUUACCCCAACCAUUAUAGAUAUUAUAACCCUACUCAACCUAUACUUUUACACACGCUUAAUUUACUCUACCUCAGUGACAAUAUUCCCCACAUCUAAUAACAUAAAAAUAAAAUGACGGUUCAAAAACACAAAGUCCAUAUUACCCCUCCCCCCACUUAUAAUCUCUACCCUCCUCUUACCUAUUUCUCCAUUAACACUAUCUAUGAUCUAGAAAUUUAGGUUAAAUAAGACCAAUGGCCUUCAAAGCCUUUAGCAAGUAAAUUAUACUUAAUUUCUGCAACAAACCUAAGGACUGCAAGACUCCACUCUGCAUCAAUUGAACGCAAAUCAACUACUUUAAUUAAGCUAAGCCCUCUCUAGAUUGGUGGAAUUAAACCCACGAAAAUUUAGUUAACAGCUAAACACCCUAAUCAAGUGGCUUCAAUCUACUUCUCCCGCCGCUGGGAAAAAAGGCGGGAGAAGCCCUGGCAGGAGUGAAGCUGCUCCUUUGAACUUAGUCUGAAUUUUCAUGUUGAAUUCAACAUGAAAAUCACCUCGGGACUGGUAAAAAGAGGCCUUAACCUCCAUCUUCAGAUUUGCAGUCUAAUGUUUACUCAGCCAUUUUACCUUUUUCACUCCACUUAUGUUCAUCAACCGUUGAUUGUUUUCAAGCAACCACAAAGACAUGGGAACAUUAUAGUUACUAUUCUGUGCAUGAGCAGGGAUAGCAGGCACAGCCUUAAGCCUCCUUAUUCAAGCAGAACUGGGCCAACCAGGUACUCUGCUAGAAGAUGAUCAAAUUUACAAAGUUAUUGUUACCUCCCACGCAUUUAUCAUAAUUUUCUUUAUAGUUAUACCAAUCAUAAUCGGAGGUUUUGGCAACUGAUUAGUUCCUCUCAUAAUUGGCUCUCCUGAUAUGGCAUUUCCCCGAAUAAAUAACGUGAGUUUCUGACUUCUCCCUCCCCCCCUUUCCUACUGUUAUUUGCAUUCUCAAUGGUAGAGGCUGGCAGUGGGACCCGCUGGACAGUUUAUCCUCCCUUAACAGGAAUCUUAACAUGCAGGAUCCUCUGUGGACCUGACCAUCUUCUCACUUAAUUUAGCAGGCAUCUUUUCUAUUCUAGAAGCUAUUAAUUUUACUACCACAAUCAUUAACAUGAAUCCCCUGGCCAUAUCCCUACAUCACACACCCCUCUUCGUCUGAUCAGCCCCAGUUACAGCAGUUCUUCUACUUCUUUCUCUUCCAGACCUAGCCGCCGGCAUUACUAUGCUAUUAACUGACUGUAAUCUCAACACUACAUUGUCUGACCCAGCUGUCAGAGGUGACCCUGUCCUGCAUUAACACUUAUCUGAUUUUUUGGCCACUCUGAAGUCUAUGUCCUUAUCUUACAAGGCUUCUGGAUAAUCUCCCACAUCGUAACACACUAUUCUGGAAAAAAGGAACCAUUUGUGUGCAUGGGCAUAGUAUGAGCCAUAGUAUCAGUUGGUUUCUUAGGAUUAUCAUAUGGGCUCACCACAUACUUACAGUAGGAAUAGAUGUAGAUAUAGGAGCAUACUUCACCUCUGCCACUAUAAUUAUUGCCCUCCCCGCUGGCAUCAAAGUCUUUAGUUGGUUAGCUUCACUACAUGGCAGCAACAUCAAAUGAUCCCCCACAAUUCUUUGAGCCCUGGGAUUUAUAUCCCCUUUUACAUUAGGAGGUCUGACCGGCAUUGUACUAGCUAACUCAUCACUAGACAUUGUCUUGCAUGACACAUAUUAUGUUGUAGCUCAUUUCCAUUACAUCUUAUCAGUAGGAGCCGUAUUUGCUAUUAUAGGAGGCUUUGUCCACUGAUUUCCCCUAUUCUCAGGUUAUAUACUUAGUCAGACCUAUGCUAAAAUUCACUUUUCCAUCAUGUUUAUAGGUGUUAAUUUGACUUUUUUCCCACAGCAUUUCCUGAACAGGGAAAAGUUGAAAGCAUUCCCACUGAGAAAUGGAACAAGACAAGGAGGCCCACUCUUACCACUUCUGUUCGACAUAAUACUAGAAGUCCUAGACAGAGCUAUCAGAAAAGAGAAAGAAAUAAAUGGCAUUCAAAUCGGUAAAGAGGAAGUCAAACUGUUGCUAUUUGCUGGUGAUAUGAUCAUAUAUCAGAAAACUCUAAAGACUCCUCUAAAAAGUUCCUCAACUGGUAAAGGAAUUCAGGAGAGUUUCAGGAUACAAAAUUAAUGUACACAAAUCCAUUGCUCUGCUAUACACCAAUAGCAACCAAGCUGAGAAUCAAAUCAAGAACUCAACCCCUUUCACAAUAGCUGCAAAAAGUAAAAUAAAAUACUUAGGAAUACAUCUAACUAAGGACAUGAAGGGCCUGUACAAGGAAAAUUAAAAAACACCACUAAAAGAAAUAAUAAAUGAUACAAACAAAUGGAAACACAUCCUAUGCUCAUGGAUGGAUCAAAUCAAUAUUGUGAAAAUGGUCAUAGUGCCACAAACAAUCUACAAAUUUAAUGAAAUUCCCAUCAAAAUACCACCAUCAUUUUUCACACUUCUUGAUUCAUGGAAGGAGGUCAAAACAAGAGCUUGGAAGUAGUUGAUUUCAACCCUCAUGGAUGACUUUGAGGGUUUCAAAACUUCAGUCACGGAAGUAACUGAAGCUUUGGUGGAAAUAGCGAGAGAAGUAGAAUUAGAAGUGGAGCCUGAAGAUGUGAAUGAAUUAGUGCAAUCUCAUGACAAAACUUGAAUGGAUGAGGAAUUGUUUCUUAUGGAUGAGGAAAGAAACUGGUUUCUUGAGAUGGAAUCAACUCCCGAUGAAGACACGGCAAACGUUGUUGAAAUGGCAAGAAAAGACUUGGAAUAUUACAUAAACUUAGUUGAAAAAGCAUUAGCAGGGUUUGAGAGAAUUGGCUCAAAUUUUGAAAGAAUUUCUACUAUAAAUAAAAUGCUAUCAAACAGCAUCACAUGUUACAGAUAAAUCUUUCAUUGAAGGAAAAGAAAAUAAAUGCCACAAAUUUCAUCUUUGUCUUAUAUUUGAAAUUAUCACAGUCAUCCCAACCUUCAGCAAUCACCAACCUGAUCAACAGCCAUCAACAUUGAAGCAAGACUUUUCAUCAGCAAAAAUAUUAUUACUCACUAAAGGCUCAGAUAAUCAUUAGCAUGUUUUAUCAAUAAAGUAUUUUUUAAUUAAGGUAUUUCUAUUGGCUUUUUUGGCCCUGCCAAGUCUUAUGUUGAAACUUGAUCUCCAGUGUAGGAGGUGUUUGGAUUGUGGAGGAACAUCCCUCAUGAAUGACUUGGUGUCAUUCUUGCAGAGUGAGUUUUCUUGUUCCCAUGAGAACUGGUUGUUCCAAAAGACUGUUACCUCCUCCUCUUUCUUUUUUGCUUCCUCUCUUGCCAUGUGAUCUCUGCAGACAAGCUCCCCUUCCACCAUGAGUAAAAGCAGCUUGAGACCCUCACCAGAUACAGAUGAAAAAGCCAUGCUUCUUCUACAGCCUGCAGAACUGUGAACCAAAUAAAUAUUUUUUGUUAUGAAUUACCCUACCUCAGGUAUAUCUUUGUAACAACACUAGUGGAAUAAGAUAGAUAUGUACUUUUUUAGGCAUAGUGCUACUGCGCACUUCAUAGACUACAGUAUAGUAUAAACAUAACUUUUAAAUGCACUGGGAAACCACACAAUUUAUGUCACUUGCUUUACAGCAGUAUUUACUUUGUUGCUGUGGUCUGAAAUUGAACCUGCAAUAUCUAGAGGUGUGCCUGUACCUAUAGCCAUGGGAGAGGCCCUCAGCGCUUGCAAGCACUGAGACUGGUAUAGGGAGUUGCCUGGAAUCCACCUGAUGGCAUUGUUCCGAAGAGAGAGAGGUCCUGCUGGGCCCCACACAACUCCCAAGAGCCAAGCACCUGAAGCAUGCUGCCAUUUUAGAGCCCAGACUCCACCAGACUGCACCGUGCCCUGGGGCCUAACAGCCCCUGCAUCUCCACAUCCCAAGAUCCCUGCUGACAUCUCACCACAUCCACUCCAAGAGCUGCAGCAUCACAAUGCCAGCUCAACUGAGCACUGCAGCUGCGUUACAUACUAAGCAGAGAUCCAUGAAAAAUCUUUCUACCAAAUUCAUUGAUACAAUUGCAAUUCAUGCCAUGUUUGAGUUACCUAUAUAUACAAAUGCAUUUCCUUCCUUCUUGUUUUCUUUCUUCCUUCCUUUCUCUAUUCAUUCCUUCCUUCCCUUUCUUCCUUCUGUUUCUUUUUCUUCCUUCUUUCCCUCCUCUCUCUCUAUAUUAUUUCCUUCCUUCCUUCCCAUUCUCUCUCUACUUCCUUCCCUUUCUUUACUUUCUUCCUUCCUUUCUUUUCCUUCCUUCUUUCUUUUUUCUCUUUCUUUCAUUCUACCUUCCUUUCUC
This 7874-nucleotide long non-coding RNA is filed under the name Homo sapiens (human). RNAcentral describes it as "non-protein coding LINC01608:9". Lineage: Eukaryota; Metazoa; Chordata; Mammalia; Primates; Hominidae. The record is from RNAcentral.